UACGAAGGGGGCUAGCGUUGCUCGGAAUGACUGGGCGUAAAGGGCGCGUAGGCGGUUUGUUCAGUCAGGUGUGAAAUUCCCGGGCUCAACCUGGGGGCGGCACUCGAGACGUAGGAACUGGAGUGAGGAAGAGGGUCGUGGAAUUCCCAGUGUAGAGGUGAAAUUCGUAGAUAUUGGGAGGAACACCGGUGGCGAAGGCGGCGAUCUGGGUAGAUACUGACGCUGAGGUGCGAAAGCGUGGGGAGCAAACAGG
RNAcentral lists this ribosomal RNA (253 nucleotides) under uncultured bacterium. Its description in RNAcentral is "partial 16S ribosomal RNA". It matches the Rfam family "Bacterial small subunit ribosomal RNA", at positions 524 to 776 of the family's 1533-position model. The record is from RNAcentral.